RNAcentral lists this ribosomal RNA (497 nucleotides) under uncultured bacterium. RNAcentral's name for it is "partial 16S ribosomal RNA". It matches the Rfam family "Bacterial small subunit ribosomal RNA", at positions 28 to 507 of the family's 1533-position model. The record is from RNAcentral.
GAUGAACGCUGGCGGCGUGCCUAAUACAUGCAAGUCGAGCGAACAGACGAGGAGCUUGCUCCUUCGACGUUAGCGGCGGACGGGUGAGUAACACGUAGGUAACCUACCUAUAAGACUGGGAUAACUUCGGGAAACCGGAGCUAAUACCGGAUAAUAUUUCGAACCGCAUGGUUCGAUAGUGAAAGAUGGCUUUGCUAUCACUUAUAGAUGGACCUGCGCCGUAUUAGCUAGUUGGUAAGGUAACGGCUUACCAAGGCAACGAUACGUAGCCGACCUGAGAGGGUUAUCCGCCCCCCUGGAACUGAGACCCGGUCCAGACCCCUGCGGGGGGCAGCAGUAGGGAAUCUUCCGCAAUGGGCGAAAGCCUUACGGAGCAACCCCGCGGGAGUUGUGGAGGUCUUCCGAUCCUAAAACUCUGUUAUUAGGGAAGAACCAACGUGUAAGUAACUGUGCACGUCUUGACGGUACCUAAUCAGAAAGCCACGGCUAACUACGUG